UGGCGCGGAACUUAUACUAAUUUUGAUUUGCCCCUUAAAUCCGAAUAAAAUUACGUACUUCCGCCAUGUCGCUCAAUUUCAACGAGGCACUUAAAUUGCUCAUGGAAAACCUAUCCAAGAAUCCAACGCCUUAGCAACAAAAACAAAUGCUGGAUGCAACCGAAGUAGCUGAGCACAUAAGCGGGGGAUUCACCAAAAUCAAUUCUAUUUUCAAGGGCUUCAUUAGUAACUGGGGCGAGACAGCUUUAUUUUACAAUAAUUCUUACCCUAAACCUGCGAGUUUCCUCCUUCAUCUUAAAAUGCCAUUUGAUAUAACAUCUCAGCGAGUUUUCAUUGAUGAUGGCGGCCUAUGGGUUGUCAAUCUGAAAACGACGGCUAGUCAUCCAGCAGUGAAAAAUGGAUAUUUAAACGGCGAACUACUGAUCACUUUGUUUUAUUCGGAUUUAAUGAAAGUUAUCAACCAAAAUGCGCAGGUGCAAAGCAAAAGUGGAAAAUCCUUCCGCCUUACCUGUUGUAUAAACACGUAUUACACUUUCGAGAUUGCAGCUUGGGAUUCCGCAAUGGAAAAUGUGGAAUUUGAGUAUAGAUUUCUUCUAGAAUUGUAUUUUCCCAACAUUCCUACGCCAUUCAUAUCGAUGGAUACUUUAUUUAUGGAAAACAAGAAGACUGACAAACAGAAACAAGUUAGAAGCAUUCACGCGACCAUACACACUGUAAUGAUACAACUGAAUUUGUAUUCAUCUUUGUCAAUCCCAGUUUUAGGUGAGAUUUUGGAUUCAGUUGACUUUGUAGCAGCACCAAACGCUGGCGAAACUUUGUUAAAGGUUUUACCAAAAGUAAUUCUAAAGUUACAAAAUCCACAACCAUUGAAAUCUGUUUUCAAAAAGUUAUUGCAAUUUAAGCAAUCGGACUCGGUGGAGACGUCAGAGCUGAAGGAACUGCUUAACUUCCAAUAAUAUGAAAAUUUGUCUUGAAGAUAUUACACAAACCUAUUAUCGCUAGGAAAUUACAUUUAAAUGGAACAAAAAAGGAGAGAAUUACAAAAAUAUUUUAUGAAUUUGACAUGCAACUGCGUGAAAGGGCAUUAACUAUGACACUCCAAGAUCAGAGGGAUGAGUUAAGAAACAAACUAUGUAUUAUUUUAAAAUUAAAAUUUAACUGCCUUAUGUGGACAAUAAAUAUUUUGCAGACGAUGAAAUACAACCGACGGACUCCCAGCUUUAAGCUAAAAAAGCUCUUUUCAAAAACUUGUGGACAGUU
Drosophila biarmipes is the source of this 1260-nucleotide long non-coding RNA. RefSeq lists it as uncharacterized. The record is from RefSeq and is a predicted model, not a curated record. NCBI's taxonomy places the organism in Eukaryota, Metazoa, Arthropoda, Insecta, Diptera, Drosophilidae. The transcript is spliced from 3 exons.